RNAcentral lists this ribosomal RNA (214 nucleotides) under uncultured bacterium. RNAcentral's name for it is "partial 16S ribosomal RNA". It matches the Rfam family "Bacterial small subunit ribosomal RNA", at positions 562 to 776 of the family's 1533-position model. The record is from RNAcentral.
AAAGGGUGCGUAGGUGGUUUCUUAAGUCAGAGGUGAAAGGCUACGGCUCAACCGUAGUAAGCCUUUGAAACUGGGGAACUUGAGUGCAGGAGGGGCAAAUGGAAUUCCUAGUGUAGCGGUGGAAUGCGUAGAUAUUAGGAGGAACACCAGUGGCGAAGGCGAUUUGCUGGACUGUAACUGACACUGAGGCACGAAAGCGUGGGGAGCAAACAGG